AGCUUUAUAGUCAAAUAAUUGAUAUAAAAUUGCAAAUUUUAAGUUGUAUAUUAUGUACUAAGGCUU
Molecule: transfer RNA, 66 nt
Filed under: Polyommatus amorata
Lineage: Eukaryota; Metazoa; Arthropoda; Insecta; Lepidoptera; Lycaenidae
Description: tRNA-Cys
Source: RNAcentral